Molecule: long non-coding RNA, 1515 nt
Filed under: Actinidia chinensis (golden kiwifruit)
Lineage: Eukaryota; Viridiplantae; Streptophyta; Magnoliopsida; Ericales; Actinidiaceae
Description: long non-coding RNA (ACHI_LNC000632)
Source: RNAcentral
UUGAAGAUAGCUUGGCCAUUGGACCCUUUCUUUGAUAAUUUUUUUUCGUGUUCUUCUUUUCUUCUUCUUCAAGGGUCAUGCAAUGGGGAAGCAUUCAUGGUGAGUGGAGAGGUCUAAUGAAUUGUGGUGAUGAAUGCAUAUUUUUAAUGAAUAUUUUUCAGUACUAGUCAAUGAAACUUUUCAGCCAUUUUAACAAUUUUCAAUAUAAUAUUACCACCCUAUUAAGAAAAAAAAAACUCUUAAAUUAUGUAAUUUAAUUAUAACGAAUUGAAUAUAGAGUUUUAAUGCGAUUAUAAUUAAAGUCACUCAUCAAUUUUUAUUCAAUUAGGAUUUACAAAAUCAAUUAAUUCUACAAAAUACUUUAAAAAUCAACGUUGUUAGGUGUGUUUUGUGUUUUUGAAAAUUUUGGCCACAAACAAUUACUGAUUGAUUCUUACUAUUGUUCGUCCUCCCGUUAUUACGUAAAAAAAAUCACUUCUUAAUCAUACUAAUUAGAAUUUUACAUUCUAAAAAAUAAUAUUAGAAACUACAAUGAUUUUUAAAAAGUUUUGCUAGAUUGAGAGAAAUGAGAAAAAAAGAGGUAUUUUAGAUUGUGUGUGUGGGUACCACUAAUAAAUGAUUCAAUGUAUAAAAAAUAUAUUUAAAUUUAGAUUUUUUUAUCGCAUAAGAACCUAUUGGGUUUCACACAUUUGAAAAGAAAUAAGUGAUAUUUUUUUUAAGGAAAAAUAAUUUCAAGUGAAAUUUCAUACGUUGAAUUAACUCAAAACUCAAAUGGAUUUUAAACGUAGACAGUGAAAAAUAAUUUUGAGAUUCAAAAUAAAUUGUGUUCUAUGUCAUAGAUGAUAAAUUAAUAAGUCAAAUUCAAAUUAUCAAUCAUUUGAUACGUGUAGAUAGAAUAUACAGAUGUUAUUCAUUUUUUAGUCUUUUUUUCAUAAAUUAUUUUUGCACCUCUCUCUCUCUUUCUAUAUAUAUAUAGAGAGAGAGUGAGAAACCUAGAUAGAUUUCUUCAAUCUAAGACAAUCAAUCCAAAGCUAAAAAACAAACUAUAUUUGUAUGAUAUUAAUCAUCAGUUUAUGUAUAUAUUUUUUGGGUAAUAAUCAAUUUAUAUAUUGAUCUAACUAAGAAAUCUGUUAAACUUUUUUUUAAGCACUCAUCAUGGAACAAAGACAAUGAUGCAGAGAGAGCACUACUGAGCAAUAAAGCCAGAAAUACCCCUGAGAUUAGAGACAAAUCCAUAUAAGGAAGCUUUUGAAUACCCAUGUUGCAAUUUAGGAAACAAGAAGAGAAACAUAGCAGAACAAAAUUGAAACAGAGUGAGUUAUUGUGACGAAAAGAUGAAGAGAGAGAGAGAAAUUACCCUUCGACUACGACUUGAAUUGGCUAGAUGGAUCGAGCCGCGGAUCAUCGAUGGUCCAUGACUUCAUUGUUUGAGCAUAUUACGUAGAGAGACAGAGAGUGAGUAAAGGGUUAGCAAUUUUCCCAAGUUCUUGUUAUUUUCAGUUUUUUGUAAAGGAG